GAUGAACGCUAGCUACAGGCUUAACACAUGCAAGUCGAGGGGAAACGACAUCGAAAGCUUGCUUUUGAUGGGCGUCGACCGGCGCACGGGUGAGUAACGCGUAUCCAACCUGCCCAUCACUUGGGAAUAACCUUGCGAAAGUAAGACUAAUACCCAAUGAUAUCCCACGAAGGCAUCGGAAUGGGAUUAAAGAUUUAUCGGUGAUGGAUGGGGAUGCGUCUGAUUAGCUUGUUGGCGGGGUAGCGGCCCACCAAGGCAACGAUCAGUAGGGGUUCUGAGAGGAAGGUCCCCCACAUUGGAACUGAGACACGGUCCAAACUCCUACGGGAGGCAGCAGUGAGGAAUAUUGGUCAAUGGGCGAGAGCCUGAACCAGCCAAGUAGCGUGCAGGAAGACGGCCCUAUGGGUUGUAAACUGCUUUUAUAAGGGAAUAAAGUGGGUCACGUGUGACUUUUUGCAUGUACCUUAUGAAUAAGGACCGGCUAAUUCCGUG
This 492-nucleotide ribosomal RNA is filed under the name uncultured bacterium. RNAcentral's name for it is "partial 16S ribosomal RNA". It matches the Rfam family "Bacterial small subunit ribosomal RNA", at positions 28 to 507 of the family's 1533-position model. The record is from RNAcentral.